GUUGUUGUGGCCGAGUGGUUAAGGCGAUGAACUGCAAACCUUUUAGGAUCUUCCCGCGCAGGUUCGAAUCCUGCUGACAUCG
This 82-nucleotide transfer RNA is filed under the name Dreissena polymorpha. It matches the Rfam family "tRNA". Rfam says of the family: Transfer RNA (tRNA) molecules are approximately 80 nucleotides in length. Their secondary structure includes four short double-helical elements and three loops (D, anti-codon, and T loops). Lineage: Eukaryota; Metazoa; Mollusca; Bivalvia; Myida; Dreissenidae. The record is from Rfam by way of RNAcentral.